UAGUAACGGCGAGUGAAGAGGGAAAAGCUCAAAUUUUGAAUCUGGUGUCUUUGACUCCCCGAGUUGUAAUCUAGAGAAGUGUUUUCCGUGUCGGACCGCGUAUAAGUUCCCUGGAACGUGGCGUCAUAGAGGGUGAGAAUCCCGUAUAUGCCGUGGACUACCGAUGCUCUGUGAUACACUCUCAACGAGUCGAGUUGUUUGGGAAUGCAGCUCAAAAUGGGUGGUAAAUUCCAUCUAAAGCUAAAUAUUGGCGAGAGACCGAUAGCGAACAAGUACCGUGAGGGAAAGAUGAAAAGCACUUUGGAAAGAGAGUGAAACAGUACGUGAAAUUGUUGAAAGGGAAGCGUUUGAAGUCAGUCACGUUUGUUGGGAUUCAGCCUGGCUUCAGCCUGGUGUAUUUCCUAGCCGACGGGUCAGCAUCAGUUUCGACCAAGGGAAAAAGACAUUUGGAAUGUGGCUGUCUUCGGGCAGUGUUAUAGCCUUGUGUUGUAUGCCUUGGUUGGGACUGAGGAAUGCAGCGCGCCUUAUGGCCGGGGGUCGCUCCUCUCGACACGCGCUUAGGA
RNAcentral lists this ribosomal RNA (563 nucleotides) under uncultured Sebacinales. RNAcentral describes it as "eukaryotic LSU rRNA". It matches the Rfam family "Eukaryotic large subunit ribosomal RNA", at positions 81 to 612 of the family's 3401-position model. Lineage: Eukaryota; Fungi; Basidiomycota; Agaricomycetes; Sebacinales. The record is from RNAcentral.